GUGUCAGCCGCCGCGGUAAGACGAACCGUGCGAACGUUGUUCGGAAUCACUGGGCUUAAAGGGCGCGUAGGCGGGUUCGAAAGUCUGUGGUGAAAGCCUCCAGCUUAACUGGAGAAGUGCCAUGGAUACUGCGAACCUGGAGGAGGGUAGGGGCAUCUGGAACGCUGGGUGGAGCGGUGAAAUGCGUUGAUAUCCAGCGGAACUCCGGUGGCGAAGGCGAGGUGCUGGACCCUUUCUGACGCUGAGGCGCGAAAGCCAGGGGAGCAAACGGGAUUAGAAACCCGAGUAGUCC
This 292-nucleotide ribosomal RNA is filed under the name uncultured bacterium. RNAcentral describes it as "partial 16S ribosomal RNA". It matches the Rfam family "Bacterial small subunit ribosomal RNA", at positions 505 to 796 of the family's 1533-position model. The record is from RNAcentral.